This 467-nucleotide ribosomal RNA is filed under the name uncultured bacterium. Its description in RNAcentral is "partial 16S ribosomal RNA". It matches the Rfam family "Bacterial small subunit ribosomal RNA", at positions 28 to 506 of the family's 1533-position model. The record is from RNAcentral.
GACGAACGCUGGCGGCGUGCUUAACACAUGCAAGUCGAACGGAAAGGCCCUGCUUUUGUGGGGUGCUCGAGUGGCGAACGGGUGAGUAACACGUGAGUAACCUGCCCUUGACUUUGGGAUAACUUCAGGAAACUGGGGCUAAUACCGGAUAGGAGCUCCUGCUGCAUGGUGGGGGUUGGAAAGUUUCGGCGGUUGGGGAUGGACUCGCGGCUUAUCAGCUUGUUGGUGGGGUAGUGGCUUACCAAGGCUUUGACGGGUAGCCGGCCUGAGAGGGUGACCGGCCACAUUGGGACUGAGAUACGGCCCAGACUCCUACGGGAGGCAGCAGUGGGGAAUAUUGCACAAUGGGCGGAAGCCUGAUGCAGCAACGCCGCGUGCGGGAUGACGGCCUUCGGGUUGUAAACCGCUUUCGCUUGUGACGAAGCGUGAGUGACGGUAAUGGGUAAAGAAGCACCGGCUAACUACGU